UUUAGGAUAGAAAAUAUUUAUAGGAUGAAGAGUUUGAUCCUGGCUCAGGAUGAACGCUAGCUACAGGCUUAACACAUGCAAGUCGAGGGGCAACAUGAACUAGCAAUAGUUUGAUGGCGACCGGCGCACGGGUGAGUAUCGCGUAUCCAACCUAUCCAUUACUCGGGCAUAGGCUUUCGAAAGAAAGAUUAAUUCCCGAUGGUACGAUAAGUUCGCAUGAAUUUAUGGUUAAAGGAGCUUUCCGGUAGUGGUUGGGGAUGCGUUCCAUUAGACAGUUGGCAGGGUUACGGCCUACCAAAUCUACGAUGGAUAGGGGUUCUGAGAGGAAGGUCCCCCACAUUGGAACUGAGACACGGUCCAAACUCCUACGGGAGGCAGCAGUGAGGAAUAUUGGUCAAUGGGCGAGAGCCUGAACCAGCCAAGUAGCGUGAAGGAUGACAGUCCUAUGGAUUGUAAACUUCUUUUAUGGGAGAAUAAAAGAUUCCAUGUAUGGAAUAUUGCAUGUAUCCCUUGAAUAAGCAUCGGCUAACUCCGUGCCAGCAGCCGCGGUAAUACGGAGGAUGCGAGCGUUAUCCGGAUUUAUUGGGUUUAAAGGGUGCGUAGGCGGGAUGUCCAGUCAGUCGUGAAAUAUUGAGGCUUAACCUUAAUCUUGCGAUUGAAACUGACAUUCUUGAGUAUGGACAAGGUGGGCGGAAUUCGUGUUGUAGCGGUGAAAUGCUUAGAUAUCACGAAGAACUCCGAUUGCGUAGGCAGCUCACUGGGGCAUCACUGACGCUGAGGCACGAAAGUUCGGUUAUCAAACAGGAUUAGAUACCCUGGUAGUCCGUACUGUAAACGAUGAAUACUCGCCGUCUGCGAUACAUUGUAGGCGGUCAAGCGAAAGCAUUAAGUAUUCCACCUGGGGAGUACGCCGGCAACGGUGAAACUCAAAGGAAUUGACGGGGGCCCGCACAAGCGGAGGAACAUGUGGUUUAAUUCGAUGAUACGCGAGGAACCUUACCCGGGCUUGAAUUGCAGAGGAAUGUAGGUGAAAGCUUACCGCCGCAAGGUCUCUGUGAAGGUGCUGCAUGGUUGUCGUCAGCUCGUGCCGUGAGGUGUCGGCUUAAGUGCCAUAACGAGCGCAACCCUGAUGGUCAGUUACCAGCAUGUAAUGAUGGGGACUCUGCCCAGACUGCCGUCGUAAGAUGUGAGGAAGGUUGGGAUGACGUCAAAUCAGCACGGCCCUUACGUCCGGGGCUACACACGUGUUACAAUGGAUGGUACAGAGGGUCGCCACGUGGCAACGCGGAGCUAAUCCCCAAAUCCAUUCUCAGUUCGGAUCGAAGUCUGCAACCCGACUUCGUGAAGCUGGAUUCGCUAGUAAUCGCGCAUCAGCCACGGCGCGGUGAAUACGUUCCCGGGCCUUGUACACACCGCCCGUCAAGCCAUGGGAGUCGGGGGUACCUGAAGCACGUGUCCGUUACAGGAGCGUUCCAGGGUAAAUCCGGUGACCGGGGCUAAGUCGUAACAAGGUAGCCGUACCGGAAGGUGCGGCUGGAACACCUCCUUUCU
This 1551-nucleotide ribosomal RNA is filed under the name uncultured Bacteroidales bacterium. Its description in RNAcentral is "bacterial SSU rRNA". It matches the Rfam family "Bacterial small subunit ribosomal RNA". The record is from RNAcentral. Lineage: Bacteria; Pseudomonadati; Bacteroidota; Bacteroidia; Bacteroidales.